RNAcentral lists this ribosomal RNA (480 nucleotides) under uncultured bacterium. RNAcentral's name for it is "bacterial SSU rRNA". It matches the Rfam family "Bacterial small subunit ribosomal RNA", at positions 29 to 506 of the family's 1533-position model. The record is from RNAcentral.
AUGAACGCUAGCGGGAGGCCUAAUACAUGCAAGUCGAACGGUAACAGGGUAGCAAUACCGCUGACGAGUGGCGCACGGGUGAGUAACACGUACACAAUCUGCCUUAUACUGGAGCAUACCCCCAAGAAAUUGGGACUAAUUCUCCAUAAUAUAUAGAAGAGGCAUCUCUUUCAUAUUAAAACUCAGGUGGUAUAAGAUGAGUGUGCGUCUGAUUAGCUAGUUGGUGAGGUAACGGCUCACCAAGGCAACGAUCAGUAACUGGUCUGAGAGGAUGAUCAGUCACACGGACACUGAGACACGGGUCCGACUCCUACGGGAGGCAGCAGUAGGGAAUAUUGGACAAUGGGCGCAAGCCUGAUCCAGCCAUCCCGCGUGAAGGAUUAAGGCCCUCUGGGUUGUAAACUUCUUUUUUGGGGGAAUAAAAACCGGGAUUUAUCCUGGCUUGAAGGUACCCCAAGAAUAAGCACCGGCUAACUCCGU